UACAGAAAUAGGAGAGGAAACAGAAACCCCAAGGUCAACCAACAAGCGAGAGAGCCAAGUCAACUCAGCAACAACCUUUCUAAGGGCUCGAUAUUCUGCCUCAGCAGAGGAGAGAGAAACAACAGACUGUUUCUUUGAUUUCCAACUGAUCAAACAGCCACCCAAGAGCACACAAAAAUCAGUAACAGAGCGCCUAGUAUCA
This 202-nucleotide long non-coding RNA is filed under the name Nicotiana benthamiana. RNAcentral describes it as "long non-coding RNA (NBEN_LNC003292)". Lineage: Eukaryota; Viridiplantae; Streptophyta; Magnoliopsida; Solanales; Solanaceae. The record is from RNAcentral.